This 253-nucleotide ribosomal RNA is filed under the name uncultured bacterium. RNAcentral's name for it is "partial 16S ribosomal RNA". It matches the Rfam family "Bacterial small subunit ribosomal RNA", at positions 524 to 776 of the family's 1533-position model. The record is from RNAcentral.
UACGGGGGGGGCAAGCGUUGUUCGGAAUUACUGGGCGUAAAGGGCUCGUAGGUGGCCAACUAAGUCAGACGUGAAAUCCCCGGGCUCAACCCGGGAACUGCGUCCGAGACUGGAAGGCUUGAAUCCGGGAGAGGGAUGCGGAAUUCCAGGUGUAGCGGUGAAAUGCGUAGAUAUCUGGAGGAACACCGGUGGCGAAGGCGGCAUCCUGGACCAACACUGACGCUGAGGAGCGAAAGCCAGGGGAGCAAACGGG